UCAUUAUGAUGGGUCUCUUUGUGUCACA
RNAcentral lists this non-coding RNA (28 nucleotides) under Mus musculus (house mouse). The record is from RNAcentral. Lineage: Eukaryota; Metazoa; Chordata; Mammalia; Rodentia; Muridae.